AAAUUCUAAAGCGUUUCAACUGUUCAAAAUUGUUUUAGUCUUGCAAAAGUUCAGAGUUCAAAGAGUACUUAAAACCUUUCUCAAAACAUUUCAAAAUAAAACUUGUCAAUAGACAUUCAGGUUCUUUCAAAGUCAUUGAAACUUCUUUAAUUGAAACCCCCAAGUCAAAUUCAAAGGCAUAAACCCUUUUCGCAUUCAAACAGCUUUAAAACACAAGUUUCAUCUAAAUAACUUUCUCUUGAAAGAGAUACAAUGCCUUUCUUAAGAAGCAAGACUAAAUCACAAUUUC
Molecule: long non-coding RNA, 289 nt
Filed under: Arachis ipaensis
Lineage: Eukaryota; Viridiplantae; Streptophyta; Magnoliopsida; Fabales; Fabaceae
Description: long non-coding RNA (AIPA_LNC001742)
Source: RNAcentral